This 557-nucleotide ribosomal RNA is filed under the name uncultured Glomus. RNAcentral describes it as "eukaryotic LSU rRNA". The stretch from base 156 to 309 matches the Rfam family "5.8S ribosomal RNA". Lineage: Eukaryota; Fungi; Glomeromycota; Glomeromycetes; Glomerales; Glomeraceae. The record is from RNAcentral.
GGAAGUAAAAGUCGUAACAAGGUUUCCGUAGGUGAACCUGCGGAAGGAUCAUUACUGAUUUAGCGAGCCGAGCAUUAGCGAGGUUUUGCGAUCAAUUUAUAUUUAAAACCCUCUCUUUAAUGUAUAAAAUUUGUAUUAAUGAUAAAUUAAAAGAUCACUUUCAACAACGGAUCUCUUGGCUCUCGCAUCGAUGAAGAACGUAGCGAAGUGCGAUAAGUAAUGUGAAUUGCAGUAUUCCGUGAAUCAUCGAAUCUUUGAACGCAUAUUGCACUUUCUGGUAUUCCGGAAAGUAUGCCUGUUUGAGGGUCAGUUAAAUAAAAAUCGGUGUUGUUGCUGCUUUCGUGGUGACGCGUCGGAAUUGAGUUGUCUUACCUUCGGUUAAGUGACUUAAAAUUUUGUAUGAUUUUCGAACGUAUUUAAAUUUAUUUGUACGUUUGAGAUAUCGAAUGUUUAUUAGGUUCGGUCAUUCUAAUGACUCGCGCCUAUAGUUUUUCAUUAAAUGACCUCAAAUCAGGUAAGAAUACCCGCUGAACUUAAGCAUAUCAAUAAGCGGAGGA